GAUUUUCAUUUCCCUUCGAGUGUAAAAAUGUUGUGUUUGCGUGAGUUUCCUCUGACAUCCGAUUCACUAUCAACAAUUGGAAUACUGUCCAACCUUGAAGAGCUGUACCUUAAAGACACAAUCAUCGAGGGGGAAGAAUGGAACAUGGGGGAGGAAGACACCUUCCAGAAUCUCAAAUGUUUGACAUUGCAGCGAGUGAAUCUUGCUAAGUGGGAGGUUAGAGAGGAAUCCUUUCCUGUGCUUGAGAAAUUACGACAGCGGGAUUGUCGUUAGCUUGAGGAGAUUCAGCCAAGUUUCGGGGAUAUUUGUUCAUUAAAAAGUAUCGAACUGAAGUGGAGCCCUCAACUUGUAGAAUCUGCUCUGAAGAUUAAGCAAGAUGUUGAAGAUAUGAUGGGGGAUAUUCAGGUCCUUGUUUAUAACUGAUCAAGUUUUGAGCAUUUUUACCUUGGGAAAAUAGGUGAGUACAGACGAAUUUAUUACCUCCUCAUUUUCAGUAUAAGUGGCAGAGUUUGACCAGUGUAAUUUUCUUUUGCAGAGUUUGACGAGUUGUUUGCAUAUCAUAUGUUACUGCUCAAGUCCAAAAACAUAUGAUGGAAUAAUUCUUUAGGAAGUUGAUUUGGAGGAUUGCAAGAAGUGAAACAAAAGGUGGGCAACCUCUGUACUAUAUGAAAGUUAUCUUAUAUCUCAGAUUUUUCAAGUUUUUAUAUAUCUUUCAACAAAUACCUUCACAAUCAGCUCAUCGGCGCAUAGAGUUUUAGUUGUGAUGCAGGCUGGUGGAAUUUGGACAAGAGGGGUUGCUCUGAUGGUAAGAAACCCCCACUUCCAACCGAGAGGUUGUGAGUUCGAGUCUCCGAAAGAGCAAGGUGGGAAGUUUCUUGGAGGGAAAGAUGCUGGGGGUCUAUUUGGAAACAGCCUCUCUACCCCAGGGUAGAGGUAAGGUCUGAGUACAUACUACCCUCCCCAGACCCCACUAUGUGGGAUUAUACUAGGUCAAAAUAAUUUGAAUUCCUUUAUUUUCCGAAAAGAAGAGGACAUGAUGAGGGUUAUAGCAUUAAGUUAUUACAAUUUACGUGAUCCCUUGAAGUCGUGCUUGAUUCACCUUGCAAGUAUUCCGAAGGACGAAGUAAUUCCAAUCCGUAAUUUGGAAAUUUUAUGGCCUGCUGAAGGAUUUUUGGAGCAGAGAGAGAAGAAGAGUGUGGAAGAAGUGGUUGCGAUUUAUCUGGAUAAUUUAAUUUCCAGUAGCUUGGUAAUUUCUUUCGAUAAAAUAGGUGACGAUCAGACUUGCCAAAUUCAUGAUCUUGUGCAUGAGUUUUGUUUGAUAAAAGCAAGAGAGGAAAAGUUAUUUGACUUGAUAAGUUCAAGUGCUCCAUCAUCAUCUUCUUCAGAUUUGAUGCCACGUCAAAUGAACAUUGCAUAUAGUAAGUGGCAUAACAACAGGCAUUCUGGUAAACACCUUUAUUCUUUGAGGAUAACUGGACACAAGUUUGGUGACAAUAGUCUUAAUGAUAUAUGUCACCUAAGACACUUGAGGCUUCUUAGAGUGUUGCAACUGGAUGACUCUUCAAUUCUGUUGAGUGAUUCUUUGUUGAAUGAAAUAUGCAGACUGGUUCAUUUGAGAUACUUAGAGAUUCGCACAGAAGUUAAAUCUCUGCCUUCGUCGUUUUCAAAUCUCUUGAAUCUGGAAACUCUGUGGGUGAAUAAAUAUGGACCACCCAUGGUAUUAUUACCAACAAUUUGGAAUCUUAUAAAGUUGCGAGUGCUGGCUAUAUAUAAAUGUUUCUUCUUUGUUUUGUAUAAGAAUGAGUCAAUACUGGUUGCAGAGAACUCAAAGUCAGAGAGCUUGAGAUUAUUACGGGGACUCGAAGUUUCCUAUUCAAAAGACACAGAGGAUAUUUUCAAAAGGUUUCCCAAUCUUCACAAGCUUCGAUUUGAUCUCAAGGAAUCAUGGGAUUGUUCAAGAGGGCGAUAUCGGUUCCCGAAAUUGGACUUCUUAAAUGAACUAGAAUCUCUCGAAGUAACUUUUAUAAGUUCAAAUUCAAAUGAUAGUGCGCUCUCUAUAGCGACAAAUCGGCUUUGGGAUUUUCAUUUCCCUUCGAGUGUAAAAAUGUUGUGUUUGCGUGAGUUUCCUCUGACAUCCGAUUCACUAUCAACAAUUGGAAUACUGUCCAACCUUGAAGAGCUGUACCUUAAAGACACAAUCAUCGAGGGGGAAGAAUGGAACAUGGGGGAGGAAGACACCUUCCAGAAUCUCAAAUGUUUGACAUUGCAGCGAGUGAAUCUUGCUAAGUGGGAGGUUAGAGAGGAAUCCUUUCCUGUGCUUGAGAAAUUACGACAGCGGGAUUGUCGUUAGCUUGAGGAGAUUCAGCCAAGUUUCGGGGAUAUUUGUUCAUUAAAAAGUAUCGAACUGAAGUGGAGCCCUCAACUUGUAGAAUCUGCUCUGAAGAUUAAGCAAGAUGUUGAAGAUAUGAUGGGGGAUAUUCAGGUCCUUGUUUAUAACUGAUCAAGUUUUGAGCAUUUUUACCUUGGGAAAAUAGGUGAGUACAGACGAAUUUAUUACCUCCUCAUUUUCAGUAUAAGUGGCAGAGUUUGACCAGUGUAAUUUUCUUUUGCAGAGUUUGACGAGUUGUUUGCAUAUCAUAUGUUACUGCUCAAGUCCAAAAACAUAUGAUGGAAUAAUUCUUUAGGAAGUUGAUUUGGAGGAUGACAUAUGAUGGAAUAAUUCUUUAGGAAGUGGAUUUGGAGGAUAGCAAGAAGUGAAACAAAAGGUGGGCAACCUCUGUACUAUAUGAAAGUUAUCUUAUAC
RNAcentral lists this long non-coding RNA (2803 nucleotides) under Nicotiana benthamiana. RNAcentral describes it as "long non-coding RNA (NBEN_LNC030836)". Lineage: Eukaryota; Viridiplantae; Streptophyta; Magnoliopsida; Solanales; Solanaceae. The record is from RNAcentral.